Neocloeon triangulifer is the source of this 472-nucleotide long non-coding RNA. RefSeq lists it as uncharacterized. The transcript has 2 exons. The record is from RefSeq and is a predicted model, not a curated record. Lineage: Eukaryota; Metazoa; Arthropoda; Insecta; Ephemeroptera; Baetidae.
UUGUGAGACAAGGUCGAUUGAGAUGGAUCGAAUUUUGCGUCUGUUUUUAAUAUAUUUCUCUCUGACCGCGCUCUUUGUUUUGCUCGUCGUCGACGUGGCCGAAUCCUCAGAAAUCGCGGCGAAUGAGAUGUGUCCAGCGGGAACAGUUUACAACGCGGAAAACGACCAUUGUGACGGAUUAAAUACUGAAGUAACUGAAGAUAGCAACAAGGCUUUGGGUUUAUCAAUAACAACUGGAUUGCCUGGAAGAGUCGCAAGAUUGUGUAAUGAAAACUACAUGUACGUAAGGCGUCGUAAUAGAUGCGUGCGUAUAGUGAAAUAAUAUUUGUCAUAUCACACCUUAUUACAAGGCUGUAAAAAUACAUUUUUGUUUGAAGAAGUUGCCACUCGAGGAGAUGAUCAUCGAAAUGCAAAAAUUCGGGCUGGUCCUCGUUGCAAAAAAUUGUUUUUAUUCCAAAAAGCCGUUUUGUUU